UCUUAAAGUAAAUCUAAUACAUCACGGCCGACACAAAUCAAAACUCACCCUCUGCUUCCUUAGGUCCUGCCACUCUUCACUACGAGACCAAUGUGCAGAGUCAGCGACAGAGAAUCAAGUGUCCUCCUCAAGGACUCUGCAGCACUGUGGAUGUUUGCCAGGAGCUGGACUUGACGCUGGCUUCUGCAGUGAAAGGACAGCUGCCUCUGUCCCAGUCUGCGAGCCUCUGAACCGCAGCAACUCUGGCGGCGGCCGUGUCACGGCCAACUUGGGAGGGGAGGAGGAGAACCCCUGACCCAAGUGCAAAAGACAAUAGAAAACAUGACAUGGGAACGUCUCAGCUGUCUGGUUCUCCAACACUGAACACCACGAGGCGGAGCGGCCCGGGGAUCCCCGGGUCCAACCUGGGAGCCUUGGUCCAAGGAGCUGCCUCUCUUCCUGUUUUUCCUUCUUCCCUCUGGACAACCACAACCUCACACACCUCUGGAAAGUGGAAAAUGAUGGUCCUUUGUCAUGUGCCUGGACAAUGACUGACAGAGUGUCUGAGUAUCCACCGCUGUCAGAGGAAGGAAGGAAUUUCCAUGAGGGAAUCCAAGAGAAAACAACCAGCAUGUUUGACCUUUGCAGAGACUCCUGUAGCAACAGGGUCCUCUUACAACUCAUAUCAGCUUCCAUUCAAGUCCAAGCAGAGGCAAUAGAAAAUCUAAGACGAGAUCUGGCAUCGCAGGGGGACAUUAUGAACACAAGAACAAAGAAAAGCCCCCGUCAACAGCUGGGGAAGUCUGAGCAGGUCUGUGAUAAUUGAUUUGGGAAACCCUAGAAAUCCUGGCAGCUAGGAUUUAUGGGUGAGUAAGGAUUCGAUAUCAGGUUAUUGUGGUGAGACAGCGGAGAUGUUUUGGUCGUGGGCAAGGCUGAAGUCUCUGGGUGAUGGAGAGGGACUGACUGAACGAUUACUGGAAGAUUAACAAGGCCUUUAAGACAAAACACAACGAGCAUUAGAAAAAGGUUAAACGCGAGAUGUUUGUUUUUCCAAGUAGAAAUGCUUCUCUACAUUUCAAACGUCAGACAUUUUUGUGGCGCUCAAGCCAAAAAACUGAGCGUAGACAAGAAGACGCGGGUUCAUUUUUGAUGUGCUGGUCUCAAGGUGCUGGCACUGACCACACUGCAAAUAAAAGGGAAACCAGCUCUGUUAUAAAAUUAACC
This 1203-nucleotide long non-coding RNA is filed under the name Betta splendens (Siamese fighting fish). RNAcentral's name for it is "lncRNA (ENSBSLG00000023601.1)". Lineage: Eukaryota; Metazoa; Chordata; Actinopteri; Anabantiformes; Osphronemidae. The record is from RNAcentral.